CAGAACGAACGCUGGCGGCGCGUUUUAAGCAUGCAAGUCGAACGGUAACCAUCCUUCGGGAUGGCUAGAGUGGCGAACGGGUGAGUAACACGUAGGUGAUCUGCCCUUGAGUUGGGGAUAGCCCAUGGAAACAUGGGGUAAUACCGAAUACGCUCGCGACCCUGUGGGGAUGCGAGGAAAAGCGCUUCGGCGCUGCUCGAGGAUGAGCCUGCGGCUGAUUAGUUAGUUGGUGGGGUAACGGCCUACCAAGGCGACGAUCAGUAGCCGGCCUGAGAGGGUGAGCGGCCACACUGGGACUGAGAUACGGCCCAGACUCCUACGGGAGGCAGCAGCUAAGAAUCUUCUACAAUGGACGAAAGUCUGAUAGAGCGACGCCGCGUGGGUGAUGAAGGCCGGAAGGUUGUAAAGCCCUUUUCUAUUCGAGGAAUAAGGUGUGGAGGCAAUGCCACACUGAUGACGGUAGGGUAGGAAUAAGCCCCGGCCAAUUACGUGCCAGCAGCCGCGGUAACACGUAUGGGGCGAGCGUUGUUCGGAAUCAUUGGGCGUAAAGGGCGCGUAGGCGGAUAUGCAAGCUUGGUGUGAAAGACCGCAGCUCAACUGCGGGAGCGCGCUGAGAACUGCAUAUCUUGAGUUCAAGAGGGGAAGCUGGAAUUCCAGGUGUAGGGGUGAAAUCUGUAGAUAUCUGGAAGAACAUCAGUGGCGAAGGCGAGCUUCUGGCUUUGAACUGACGCUGAGGCGCGAAAGCGUGGGGAGCGAACAGGAUUAGAUACCCUGGUAGUCCACGCUGUAAACGAUGUGCACUAGGUGUUGGGCCGUUGAAGGCUCAGUGCCGUAGCUAACGCGUUAAGUGCACCGCCUGGGGAGUAUGCUCGCAAGAGUGAAACUCAAAGGAAUUGACGNNGG
RNAcentral lists this ribosomal RNA (903 nucleotides) under uncultured organism. RNAcentral describes it as "bacterial SSU rRNA". It matches the Rfam family "Bacterial small subunit ribosomal RNA", at positions 25 to 919 of the family's 1533-position model. The record is from RNAcentral.